Molecule: transfer RNA, 65 nt
Filed under: Lachnospiraceae bacterium
Lineage: Bacteria; Bacillati; Bacillota; Clostridia; Lachnospirales; Lachnospiraceae
Description: tRNA-Pro
Rfam family: tRNA
About the family: Transfer RNA (tRNA) molecules are approximately 80 nucleotides in length. Their secondary structure includes four short double-helical elements and three loops (D, anti-codon, and T loops).
Source: RNAcentral
GAAGUGUGGCUCAGCUUGGUAGAGCGCUGCGUUCGGGACGCAGAGGUCGCAGGUUCAAAUCCUGU